This 253-nucleotide ribosomal RNA is filed under the name uncultured bacterium. RNAcentral describes it as "partial 16S ribosomal RNA". It matches the Rfam family "Archaeal small subunit ribosomal RNA", at positions 474 to 727 of the family's 1478-position model. The record is from RNAcentral.
UACCAGCACCCCGAGUGGUCGGGACGUUUAUUGGGCCUAAAGCAUCCGUAGCCGGUUCUACAAGUCUUCCGUUAAAUCCAGCUGCUUAACAGAUGGGCUGCGGAAGAUACUAUGGAGCUAGGAGGCGGGAGAGGCAAGCGGUACUCGAUGGGUAGGGGUAAAAUCCGUUGAUCCAUUGAAGACCACCAGUGGCGAAGGCGGCUUCCCAGAACGCGCUCGACGGUGAGGGAUGAAAGCUGGGGGAGCAAACCGG